Molecule: long non-coding RNA, 1785 nt
Organism: Salmo salar (Atlantic salmon)
Lineage: Eukaryota; Metazoa; Chordata; Actinopteri; Salmoniformes; Salmonidae
Source: RefSeq, a predicted model, not a curated record
GUGUAUAUAUUUUUUUAAAGCCAUCCACGGACCACCUACGACAAUCCCACCCCAACAAUGAGUAUGUUUGUUCUGCAUGUUUGACAAGUUGUAUGGAACUGUGGCUCGGAUUAUUGUUUCUUCAUCUUCUAUAAUGUAUUCUGAGUGAAUAUGGUGAAGUUUUUUUCCCCUGUUCAGAGAAAUUAGUCAUUGAAGUUGUUGGGUUUAUGUCCCAUCAUACAUCCUGAUAUUACCAGGUUCUUCUGACCACCAGAUGGUGCUGUUCUUGCUAUUAGGUGAUUCUUUGUUAAAGGGAUAGUUCAACCAAAUUACAAAAUUAUCAUUUUCGUUUCCUGUUUACAGUCUGUGGACCAGGUAUGACAGCAACCCAUGCUUUAGUUUUGUUUACAUGGCCACUAUUUCAAAUGCAAACUUUUCUGAAUUUGUGGCACAAAUCCAAUGCAAGUCAACGGUACCAAUAAUAGACUUUUCCUGCUUCAUAUCCAAAUCAUCUAUAAGUAACAUCAUUCAGUUUUACACAAUCAAUUUGUAGAUACUUUAAGAUGAUUUGGACAUGAAGCGUGUGAAUGAUGCUGAAUGGGCGGACAAAAAAAAAAGAGUUCUCGAGCAAGUGUGAAAAACUUCCCGGGGGAUUUUCUGGUACUUGUCUACAAGGUGGAAUAACAAGUUUAUCACAUUUCAAAUAUGUCUAACUUUCCCCAUUGUCAUGGAAAUUCGUACACAGGGACACCCUGAAGAGAGCGCUGCCCCUGAAUGAGGGACACCUAGUCUCUUGUCUAUUUUACCAUUACCUUACGAGAUACAAUUAAGUUAAGAUGGAGGGAGGGAGGGAGGGAGGGAGGAAUUACCAGUCCCCUGGGGCCCUGGCCCUUUAGUGGGACUGGUCCGUUGGUAAAUAUGCACAUUUACUUUCUUCACUUCUGCCUAUAAAAUAGGAAAUAUAUGUUGGUAAUGGUUGACAAUUACGCAAAAUGUAUUUAAGUUUUCCCCACCUCGAGUGAUGUGUAUUGCUGUUGUUUUCUUGCUUUGUUUUUGUCUUGCUUCAAUAACAAAUCUCACCAGAUUGGGUCUGCUGGAUGGUCGGGAUUUCUCCCUAAGGAUUAGCCCUCUAACUCCCUGACCCAAGUAACUCUGCGGUGAGAUCGCCAAGUUGAUAGGGGAGUAUAAGCCAAUUUGGGCAAAAAAGUGUUUAAACUGUGUGUUGUUAUUCUCGUUGACAUUUGUAUUAAGAAUAUUGGUAGUAGUAAUACUUUCUCAUACAGUAAAUAAUUUGUUAUACAGUGAAUCAUUUGUCUGGAUUUCCACAAUCAGAAAUGCCCUAAACUAAACUGUUCUUCUGGUCUGUCCUUUCUCGAGGUUAUGGUGAAGGUGACCACAGAUGGUACCCAGAUGCAUGGAAGGGAUAUCCUGCCGACAAAGCCAAGUAAUCCUAAAGUAGUACAGAAUCUGAAUCUACCAACAUGCGCUUCCAACCUCUAGCGCAGAACAAGGAGGAGAUUCUCAAAACACAAUACAAAAACCUGUCUACAAAAUGUGCCUGCAUGUGUACAGUAUGAGAGCGAUUGAGGAGAAAUGGCACGUCAAUCUCCCAUACAACAAUUCAUACUGUGUAAGAACUGCCUUCGAGACAGGAUAUUUCUGCAGCAUUGAAGGUCCCCAAGAAAACAGUGGCCUCCAUCAUUCUUAAAUUUAAGAAGUUUGGAACCACCAAGACUCUUCCUAGAGCUGUCCGCCCAGCCAAUCUGAGAAAUCGGGGGAGAAGGACCUUAGUCAGGGAGGUGACCA